This is a long non-coding RNA of Salvia miltiorrhiza (redroot sage), 2566 nucleotides long. RefSeq lists it as uncharacterized. NCBI's taxonomy places the organism in Eukaryota, Viridiplantae, Streptophyta, Magnoliopsida, Lamiales, Lamiaceae. The transcript is spliced from 4 exons. The record is from RefSeq and is a predicted model, not a curated record.
AGUAUUUUUUAACUUAAGGGAGUUGGGAGGGGAGCGUACAGAAUUAGUCUUCAUUUUUCUCUCCUCACACACGCAUACAUACAACUGUAACAACUUUCUCUCUUUGCGUUCUCUCUCCUCACUGUCAUCCCUCUCUCUCGUCCGGCGUGCGUCGCCGAUCUCGCCGCCUCUCUUCCUCUUCCAUUCCUUCUCUAUUUCUUCCCCUAAAUCUAAAGUCCCCAAUUUCUAGGGUUUCCUGCCUCCAUACACAUCUGAAUUUCGCCCCUCCGUUGAGUCCUGCCACUGUCGCCGCCGUCCCCGUUGCACCACCACCUUCUCUAUCUCAGGGAUCGAUGAUUCGAGGUUUCUCCGGCUAGGCAAUCCGUCUCUUAAUACUGCAGCUCAUGUUUCUACCUUUAUCUUCAUUGCUUUUGUUAUUAAUCAGUUUGCUGGAUGGUGAAACAUACUUUAUUUAUGCAAAUUAAAAGUUAGAGAUAAGGGUGUAAUCGAGUCGAGCCGAGCCGAAUAGUGUCUUGUUCAAGCUUGUCUCGUUUAGCUAAUCGAGCUGUUUGAUUAAUUAUCGAUCGAGCUUUAAUCGAGUCGAAUACAAUGCCGAGCCUAAUCAAGCUUUUUAAAUUUAAAUUUUUAUUUAAAAAUUUAAUUAUUUUCCUAAUACAUAAGUUAAUUUUCAAAUAUAUAAGUUAUUUUAUUCACAAAAAUAUAAUAUAUUUACUAUUCUCUUGUAAAUAAAUGAUGUUAAUUAGAUACUUAAUCCAAAUAUUACUAUAGUAUAAAAUAUGGUAAGACAUUUAAUUAAUAAUCUUAUGUUUUUAAGAUAAAUCACUUCACGAGCUUGUUCACGAGCUAAAGAGCCGAACAUCGUCAUGCUCAAGCUUGGCUUGUUUAGCUAAACGAGUUGUUCAUUAAAUUAACGAACGAGCUUUUAUCGAGUCGAACGUCGAAUAGCUCAUGAGUAGCUUGGCUCGUUUACAGCCCUAGUUAGAGAUGUGUUUGUCGCUAUCUAUUUAUGAUGUUUUUGGUUGUUAUUCUACGUAUGCAAAUAAUGAAUGAAUUGUAUUGUAAAGAAGAAAGACUACUUUCGGAUGUGGACUACUGUUGAAAUAUGUACUCCCUUCGUCCCAAACGAAAUGUCCUGUUUUUCUUUUUGGGCUGUCUCAAACCAAAUGUCCUGUUUCUUUUUUUGGCAAUACUCUCUCUAUAUACUUAAUAUUUAAAUAAUUUCCACCAACCCACUUUAUCUACUUUAUACACAUUUCUUAAUCUUCGUGCCGAAAAGAAAUAGGACAUUUCGUUUGGGACGCAGGAAGUAGUAUUUUUGAUGGAUGUAGCAUAACAGAUGGGAUUUAAAAUUCUGCAGAAUGGGAAAAAAUGUUUUACGCCUAGCUCACCUUCCUUUUUUUAUAUAAAUUAAUAAUAUUAAAUAAAAAAAUUUAAAAGCCGGGUUAAUGGGACUCAACCCAAUACCUUUGACCUUAGUCCUUAGUGGAGUAGCUGUGUUGAGUCGGCUUAAGAGAGUAGUUGUGUCAAAAGUUAGAAGCUAUACAGAAUUUGGGUUCCUACUCGUUUUUCACACUCAACAACUUGCUGGCCCAAACCAGCUAUCGGUCAUUCUAUAUAUCUCAACAGUAAGGGGUUGUAUUCGUUGUGUAUUUCCACAGACUUUAAAAAGUCCAUGGAAUUUAAAUUACAUGGAAUCCACAUACAUUCCAGACGACUUUCAAAGAAUUCGUAGGUUGGAUUUUACCCCGAUUUUCACUGAUUUUCGAAGACUUUACAGGAUAAUUUUGAAAUUGAAUUCCAUGAAACCAGCUCCCGCUAGAAAAGACCCAGCGACCGCUGAGCUCCAGCGAGCGCUGGUUUCACAUCCACAUUGCUUCUGUUUUGCUUUCACAUGAUGAUGUUCUGGCUCUAUCAGCUGCCAAUUUGAGGGGAUUGCAGAUGCUUUCUCUUGUUCUUGGAUCAGGAAUAACUGAUGCAUCGGUGGCAGCUAUUGCUUCGAGUUUCACAAAGUUGGAAUUGCUUGAUUUAAGUGGGUGGCAUUUAAUUUGCUGUUGGUCAGCUGCCUUGUCUGGAACUUAUGGACUGUGGAAUGACCAUAUGUGAUCCGAAUUAUGAAAAAUCCACUGAUGAAGAGGAUGAUGACUCCGAGUUACAUAAAACACCCAACGAUUGCUGGACACUUAGUGAUUGCUGGACUUUCUCAACGAGUGCUGAGUUCCAGCGCUCGCUUGCUUUUUGGCCGCGGGCGCUGGAACUCAGCGCUCGCUUAAAACUUCAUGGAUUUCAAUUCUCGUGGUUCUUGGCCGGAUUUCGUCGUGUGUAUUUUUUGAAUGAAAUCCAUGAAAGUCAUUUCGGAUUUUAAGUCAAUAGAAUAACGAAUACACCUAGAUUUGUAUGGAUUUUAAAAAGUCUGGAACGAAUACCCCCAGAUUUAUAUGGACUUUUAAAAGUCUUGAACGAAUACACCCAGAUUUCUGCAGACUUUUAAAAGUCUUGAACGAAUACACCCAGACUUUUAAAAUCCAUAGAAAUCCAUCAAAUUCCACAACGAAUACACCCCCCUAAG